This 484-nucleotide ribosomal RNA is filed under the name uncultured bacterium. RNAcentral's name for it is "partial 16S ribosomal RNA". It matches the Rfam family "Bacterial small subunit ribosomal RNA", at positions 29 to 507 of the family's 1533-position model. The record is from RNAcentral.
AUUGAACGCUGGCGGCAUGCUUUACACAUGCGAGUCGAACGGCAGCGCGGGCUUCGGCCUGGCGGCGAGUGGCGAACGGGUGAGUAAUACAUCGGAACGUGCCCAGUAGUGGGGGAUAGCUCGGCGAAAGCCGGAUUAAUACCGCAUACGACCUGAGGGUGAAAGCGGGGGAUCUUCGGACCUCGCGCUAUUGGAGCGGCCGAUGGCAGAUUAGCUAGUUGGUGGGGUAAGGGCCUACCAAGGCGACGAUCUGUAGCUGGUCUGAGAGGACGACCAGCCACACUGGGACUGAGACACGGCCCAGACUCCUACGGGAGGCAGCAGUGGGGAAUUUUGGACAAUGGGCGAAAGCCUGAUCCAGCAAUGCCGCGUGUGUGAUGAAGGCCUUCGGGUUGUAAAGCACUUUUGGCGGGAACGAAAAGGACUGUGCCAAUACCACGGUUCGAUGACGGUACCCGCAGAAUAAGCACCGGCUAACUACGUG